GGCCCCACCCCCAGUGCAGGGUGGGGGUGGGAAAUGAGGCUAUAAAGAGGGGCUGGGAGCUGAGAGCCCAUCACUGGGGAUCUGGUGUGAGCCUCUGUCAGUGAGUGACGGCACCUCCUGCUCCAGCGCCAUGGAAACCCUGCAUCCCAGAGCCAGCCUGUGGCUUCUAGUGCUGGGUACUGCUGUCCUGCUGGACCUGGGCACCCAGCCAGUCUGGGGCAUUGAGGACAACAGCCUGCUGCUCACGGGCAUCAAUGAAGAAGCGCUGACUAGGUUCCUCAUACACGUCAAGAGGGGCAUGAAUGAUACCCCCCAGUAUGCAGUGGCCACGCUGCUGCCACGCGCGGCCUGCCAGCAACCAGCCCUCGCAGAGCAGGAAGGUGCCACCAUCCAGAAGAGGCUGCGUGAUGUCCGGGCCAAGGGAAAACUGGAUCGAGACUUCUACAUCAACCAGGACAACUUCAUGGUGGCCAUUUUGCAGAAGGGCGAGUAUACGACCUGGCACGCGGAGGCUGUGCUGGUGGGCACCAUCAACACACCUGACUUCAGAGGCAACUUCCUGGAAAGGUUCCUGGCCACCAAAAAGCAGCAGUAUCCACCCAACAACAGCUGCUUCAUCUUCUUCUCCCUGAUCUCUCCCUGCCUAGAUUAUUGCCUGAACCCCAACAGCAGCACAUACAUCUUGUCAGACCUGGAGCGCAGCUUGCAGGGCUUCGAUUCCCGUUUCCAAGCCUUUGCUUUCAAGUAUGCUUACGAGGAGGAUAAACCCAAGGGCAAAAAGCAGGUGUGGGAAGCCUGGCGCCAGAUCCCCAUGCCCCUGUUCCGCUGCUUCUUCUACCCUCCCGCCAGCUGCAUGAGAUGCAACAACAAGACCCUAGAUAAUAGGUGCUUUGAUGAAAUCUGGCAAUUUUCCGCCAAAGACUAUUUCGACUAACACCCCAUGGAGGAUGGAGGGGGGGCACUCGCCCUGGCUCUGCCACACUCGGCUUCUCUUGCUUUGCUGGGCUCUUUGCCCUCUGAGAGGCGCUGCUUCCGCAAGAGGAGGGUACAACAUCCCCUCUUCCUUCCCCAGUAUCCUGGGUCCACACCCACCCAUCUCGGGGCUGGAGUCAGUCUCUGCCCAGCCAGCAGGAGCCAGGGUUGUAAGGAUGCAGGAGAGCCAGGCUCAGCUACUUUUGCCAUGGCCUGAUGGAACUGGAUUCCCAACCUGGGCAGCAGCGUCCCUUAUGGUAAUGCUGGCCCUUCUAUAGAGCUCCCCAACCUAAAUCCCCAAAGCUAGGUUGGGGCAGUAGCCCCAGUCUACAACAGCAGAAACAGAACAGAGGAGGGCAAGGACCCACCCAAAGUCACACAGAAGUCAGUGGCUGAGUCAGGGGAAACAAAAUAAACAGGAGUUUUGGCCCA
This 1404-nucleotide long non-coding RNA is filed under the name Chrysemys picta bellii (western painted turtle). RNAcentral's name for it is "lncRNA (ENSCPBG00000011659.1)". The record is from RNAcentral. Lineage: Eukaryota; Metazoa; Chordata; Testudines; Emydidae.